Molecule: non-coding RNA, 1646 nt
Organism: Carica papaya (papaya)
Lineage: Eukaryota; Viridiplantae; Streptophyta; Magnoliopsida; Brassicales; Caricaceae
Source: RefSeq, a predicted model, not a curated record
UUUAUUCCUUGAGAAAAAGAAUGGAGUAAAACCCUAGCAGCUAUGAAGUAAAACCCAAGGGUUGUGCAGAGCGGAAGCGACAAGAUCGCUCGGAGAUCGGAGUCAGAGACGGAAACAAUGACGAUUGAUGGGACGUCGGUGGUGAAGGUGGCGGAGAUUGAAGGGAGAGGGAGAGGUAUGGUGGCGUCUCAGCUGCUGAGAGCUGGUCAAGUUGUACUCCGAGACUCGCCUAUUCUCCUCUACUCAGCUCUUCCCUUUAUCAAACAACCGCAAGACCACUUCCCAAAUUCCUUGUUCUGCGACCAUUGUUUCAAGCUCUUAUGCUUACCACAAUCAUCGGUGACACAGUGUUCUUGCUGCUCUCACCAUGUAUUCUGCAGUCCUAAUUGCCUAACCCUUGCACAGGCCUCCUCUCACUCUCCAUGGGUUUGCCAUUCCAUGACUCGUCUACGAAGCUGCUGCUCCGCUUUUCUCAAUCAGCCUCCUGAACGCCAAAUCCAAGCCCGAUUCCUGAUCGCCGCCUUCAAUCUCGCCCUCGUCUCUCCUUCUGAUUUCCAGAUUUUGCUCUCUCUUCAUGGCUUGGAUUCGCCUUCCGACGCUGCUACAACUCAUUUCCUGCAUUCACUCAUCUCCUCACUCUGCAUUUCUCAGAUGCAAGGAGGAGGAGAAUUCCCUUCCUUCUCGCUGGAACUCACGGCUGCUCUACUGGCCAAGGAUAAGCUCAAUGCUUUCGGCUUGAUGGAACCUUUUUCCUUUCCCGAUCAGCAAGGUCAAGGGCAGCGCUCUGUUCGGGCUUACGGUAUUUACCCGAUGGCUUCUUUCUUCAACCAUGAUUGUCUUCCAAAUGCUUGUAGAUUUGACUACGUUGACUCUGCCACUGACCACAAUACUGAUAUCAUCAUUAGGAUGAUCCAUGAUGUUUCUCAAGGUAGGGAGAUCUGUUUGAGUUAUUUCCCUGUUAAUCUCGGGUAUUCUAGCCGACAGAAGAGGUUGCUUGGGGACUAUGGCUUCACCUGUGACUGUGACCGCUGCAAGGUUGAAGCAAACUGGUCAGAUGACGAAAACGACGACCAAGAGGGAAUAGCGGAGGAGGUGAUGGAUGAAGAUGAGGAUGAAGACCAACAAAUGGCGGCGGAGGAUGGACCCGUAGGCGGGGACUCUGAUUUUCCUCACGCUUAUUUUUUCUUGAGAUACAUGUGUAACCGAGAAAAUUGCUGGGGCACUCUGGCACCUUUGCCUCCAUCUGAUGCCACCCCCUCCAGUUUCCUUGAAUGCAACGUCUGUGGCAACCUUAAGCAAGAAGAAGAUAUUGAUGGUGAUCAAGGAGACGGCAACUCCUCUAUGGAUGACUGACCCCUGCUGGACUCGCACCAAAAUUGGAGUUCAAACUGUUGUGCCAAUUGGAAGAAAUUAGGAAUGAUGCCUAUGAGAAUUCAAGGAUUUGCAAAGAGAAGACAAGCUUUUCAUGAUCAAUUAAUUUCCAGGAAGCAAUUUUUAAUAGGCUGAAAUUAAGAGCUUGGACACCAAUAAAAUUUUCAAAGUCAAUGGUCAUCGAUUGAAACCUUUUUAUGAGGGGUUACCUACACAAAAUGUCGAAGAAUCACACUGAGCAAUCUUGAAGAGGGCACCUAAAAGAAUUGACAAUG